UUGGAAGAAGCCAAAAAGAGGCGUAUCACUGUUAAUGAUAGAAGUGAAACUUUUUUCCUUUCAAG
RNAcentral lists this transfer RNA (65 nucleotides) under Scyllarides latus (Mediterranean slipper lobster). RNAcentral describes it as "tRNA-Asn". The record is from RNAcentral. Lineage: Eukaryota; Metazoa; Arthropoda; Malacostraca; Decapoda; Scyllaridae.